RNAcentral lists this ribosomal RNA (936 nucleotides) under Bacillus licheniformis. RNAcentral describes it as "bacterial SSU rRNA". It matches the Rfam family "Bacterial small subunit ribosomal RNA", at positions 460 to 1399 of the family's 1533-position model. The record is from RNAcentral. Lineage: Bacteria; Bacillati; Bacillota; Bacilli; Caryophanales; Bacillaceae.
AAGCGUACCUUGACGGUACCUAACCAGAAAGCCACGGCUAAUACGUGCCACACCCCGGUAAUACGUAGGUGGCAAGCGUUGUCCGGAAUUAUUGGGCGUAAAGCGCGCGCAGGCGGUUUCUUAAGUCUGAUGUGAAAGCCCCCGGCUCAACCGGGGAGGGUCAUUGGAAACUGGGGAACUUGAGUGCAGAAGAGGAGAGUGGAAUUCCACGUGUAGCGGUGAAAUGCGUAGAGAUGUGGAGGAACACCAGUGGCGAAGGCGACUCUCUGGUCUGUAACUGACGCCUGAGGCGCGAAAGCGUGGGGAGCGAACAGGAUUAGAUACCCUGGUAGUCCACGCCGUAAACGAUGAGUGCUAAGUGUUAGAGGGUUUCCGCCCUUUAGUGCUGCAGCAAACGCAUUAAGCACUCCGCCUGGGGAGUACGGUCGCAAGACUGAAACUCAAAGGAAUUGACGGGGGCCCGCACAAGCGGUGGAGCAUGUGGUUUAAUUCGAAGCAACGCGAAGAACCUUACCAGGUCUUGACAUCCUCUGACAACCCUAGAGAUAGGGCUUCCCCUUCGGGGGCAGAGUGACAGUKGUGCAUGGUGUCGUCAGCUCGUGUCGUGAGAUGUUGGGUUAAGUCCCGCAACGAGCGCAACCCUUGAUCUUAGUUGCCAGCAUUCAGUUGGGCACUCUAAGGUGACUGCCGGUGACAAACCGGAGGAAGGUGGGGAUGACGUCAAAUCAUCAUGCCCCUUAUGACCUGGGCUACACACGUGCUACAAUGGGCAGAACAAAGGGCAGCGAAGCCGCGAGGCUAAGCCAAUCCCACAAAUCUGUUCUCAGUUCGGAUCGCAGUCUGCAACUCGACUGCGUGAAGCUGGAAUCGCUAGUAAUCGCGGAUCAGCAUGCGCGCGGUGAAUACGUUCCCGGGCCUUGUACACACCGCCCGUCA